RNAcentral lists this ribosomal RNA (100 nucleotides) under Caloramator sp. CAR-1. RNAcentral describes it as "partial 16S ribosomal RNA". It matches the Rfam family "Bacterial small subunit ribosomal RNA", at positions 1 to 95 of the family's 1533-position model. The record is from RNAcentral. Lineage: Bacteria; Bacillati; Bacillota; Clostridia; Eubacteriales; Clostridiaceae.
AAACAUAAGAGUUUGAUCCUGGCUCAGGACGAACGCUGGCGGCGUGCCUAACACAUGCAAGUCGAGCGGAGAUGCCAAGGAGCAAUCCAAGGUGUCUUAG